Molecule: unclassified non-coding RNA, 2154 nt
Filed under: Hevea brasiliensis (rubber tree)
Lineage: Eukaryota; Viridiplantae; Streptophyta; Magnoliopsida; Malpighiales; Euphorbiaceae
Source: RNAcentral
CUUUCCCUAUCUUACCCGAUGUUAAUUUCUGAUUACCACUAUCGUCGCUGUAUAUUGUGAAACGAUAAGAAAUUUCAAAUUGAUGGUGAACUAAUCUAAGCAUUGACACAGUGAAUAAGGAUUUUUAUUUCCAAGCGAAAUUGGUAUUUCUGCGAUAAUGAGAAACAAUUCAGCUUAGGUUUUAGGAGCUUGGCAAUUGUAUAUGGGUUUCGUAGGAUCUCUGUAUUUCUAUGAUGCUGUGAUUUGAUUGUGCCCGGCAUGCUUGGGCUAUUCCAUGUAUUUCCUUGGAGUCAUUGGCUUCAAAUGCCGAUGGGUUUUUAAUGAGUCCUAUCUAGUGCCAUCUUUUGCUGAGAAAGAAGGAAACUUGUAUGCCAAAUGGGGUUUUCCUAAUAGAGUGCCCUUAAGAAAUAGUUAUUAAAACAUUUAUUUUCAUUAAUCAUGAUAACAUCUUACAUGGUGAGUAAAAUUGUAUAAUAAUGGGAGCAGUUAAAAUUGUUUAACCGCACUUCCAAUGCCUUGAGGAAUUUCUUGGGCAAAAAUGAGUUUAUUGAUUGCAAAAGGAGAAGGCAAUUGCUUUAUUCCAUAGCCACACCACAAGGAAGGAAAUAUGGGACAAUGCCGCACUAAUAUCCUAAAAAUUGUUUUUAAUCAAGUGGAUAGCAUUUCCAAGGUCUCAAAUGGGCGGCAUCUUGGUUGUGAAAGCCCAAGACCUGCCAUUGCACCAGGAAAUGGCUCAAAGUUUUGUAACAUUAGGCCAUCGCAGUCAAGUGAUGGAAGGGAUUGAAAACCAUGUUGUUAGCCUAGAAUUUGGUAAUUUGGGGAGGACAAAGAUUUUGGCCUUUCUUAAGUUAUUUUCUUAAAAUGACUUGAUAUAUGAUAAAGUGAUAGCUCUAUAAAUGUGGGAUACAUACAGUCAAAGUAGAAGUCUAUCCCAUUGUAUCAUAUUUUCAUGGUAUUCUUAUCAUCUCCAAGUUUGACCUGUGCCCAUGGUUCUAGCCCUCUUGAUAAGAUAAAAGGCUAUUAGUACCUUAGGAAGUAUGUUUCAUUCUUGCCAUAUGUAAGUUUCAAAACCCUAAAAUCAAGUCUCCAAGGAUCUCAGCCUCUGUAUGUUACUAUAGAUAAUGAUUUCUUUCAAAGUCGAUCAACUUUCUUGGAAUGGUCACUGAAACUUAUGAUGUUUUUGCUUUUAGACUAUGUUUGGUUUGGAGGAUGGAUAGGAAGGAAAGAAUGGAAUGAAAGUAUUGAGAGGAAACCUUUAUUUUCAUUGUUUGGUUGGAGAGAAAGGUUGGGAAGGAAGGACAACUCUCCUUUCAUUCCUCCAUGGGGCAGGCAAAAAACAAAACUUCCAAAUUGGAAAGAUUGUAGAGGAGAAGCUACUAAAUAGUUUACGUUUUUAUCCCUGUGAUUUAUGAAUCUAAUUUUUUUUUAAUGGUUAAUUUGUGAAUUUGUAAAAAUUAGAGAUUCCAUCCUUUGCUUUCCUUGUUAUCAAACAACACAAAGGAAAUACUAUCAUCCUUCCUUCCUUACUCCCUCCUCUUUAUUAUUUCCCUUCCUCUUUAAUUGCUUUCUUUCUAACCAAACAUAGUGCAAGUAGUGAUGAGAUUGGGAGUCAGAUGAAGGGAUUCGAUAGAAUGUGACUGGGUGGUUUGAUGUGAUGAGCUUUGCUAAUGAUCCCCUCUCUCUGCAACCACCAAAAAGGUGGUAAUCUAGGAGACUUGUUGAAUUGUUUUCUUGUUAUUUUUUGAUUUUGAUGCUGUCAUUGUUAUAUUUUUGAUGUUCACCCAGAGUGCAUGUGACGAGCAUUUCUGUUUUACUUCAAGUCGAAGUCAUCCUUCAUACCUUGCAUCUUCCUGUUUGCCUUGUCAUAUAUUCAUAUUGAUGUUGUCAUUGUUAUAGUUUAUUUUUUGAUGUACACCGGGACUGCAUAUGACAAGCAUUUCUGUUUUAGUCUAAGUCAUCCUUCAUACCUGACAUCCUCCUGAUUGCCUUGUCAUCUGCUUUCUUCUGCAUCAUUACCAUACAUAACUUGUGCUUUGUUGCUGACCACUUUGGUGUUCUAAAUCUAGGUUGCACGCUCAGGCUCUUACGCUGGCUGCAUUAGCUGGUGCAGCUGUGGUUGAGUACUAUGAUCACAAAACUGGAACCAAGGCUGAA